CAGCAGCACCCCCCGCGCUUGGGAAGGGAAAGGCCCUGUCCGGUAGCCCCCUGCCCCUCAGCUGAGGUUGCUCAGGACCUGCUCCUACUCCGCAGUGCUGCGGGGGGAAGGGAGGGUCAUUUUAGCUCUCGUAGAUGUAACCGCUGCUCAGCUGUGCAAGGAGCCACGGAGCAGCACCGCCCGCCCUGGAGAGCCAGGCUUCAGCCCGCGCAGCGCAGCCCAGAGCCUGUCCCCUCCCCGCCGCUGCGCCACGCAGACCCACGGGCGCUGGGCAAACCACCAGCUCCGUAGCGCUGAGCGCUCGCCUGCGCCUAGCAGCCUGUGAGCCCCAAACCCGAACACAGCAGAAGGGCCUGAGCCGCAGGGAUCUCAGGAUCCUCCUUACUUCACAUGCAAAGUAUGAGGUGUCACCUGUAGUUUGACAAAAGUACUGGCACACAAAGAAAUGGGACAGGACAGACCAGCCCUUCUGUCCAUCUGUCCAAGUGACGCUUCCACAAUUUAACCUCAUACUGGGCUAGGCUGUAGGGUGGGGUUGUUGCGGACAGGGCACUUGCCCGGCUUCCUUCUCAAGGCCCACCAGUUCUGUUUCCAGCCAGUUUACUUUUCAUGGGGCAAACUUGUCCCCACAGAAAUGCAACAAACACUAUGCAAAACAACAGACACAGAGAAACCAAAACUUGCAGUCUUUCUUCAACCCCUGAGAAGAUAACUUGGGCUCUGUGCUUCUCCCUCAGUGCCACAGCCUUCCCUCUCCUACCUUUCACCUCCAGAGCUAUUAACCCUCUUGGCUCCACUCUCAUUUACUAAUCAUCAGUUGCAGCUUUCCCCCAGCCUUCCAGAUAAGCAGACGGUGAAUUGCUGCCUACCCACAGCUGGGGUUUCAGCCCCUGAAAGCAGCAUCGCCUUACAUGGCUGAAGUAGAAAUAAUCCCUCUUUGGAGAGACCGAACCUAGACUAUCAUCUACAUAGUUUUGCACACAGAAAUACCAGCAAUGUAUUGAUAAUCUGGAUGGGGUUCAGAGAAGAGCAACAGAAAAAGAUCAUGGAGAUUGAUUUAGAAGGGAAAACUUAAACAUCAGAUAUAACAGUUGUGCUUUGCCAAGACACGGGUUAAGCAUUCUUGGUUGUUAAGCCGGGUUGCCUUUUAGGGCAGUAUUGCAAUGUGAGCAAAAAUUAUAUGAAGUCGUCCAACACCAGUGUAGAAAGCUGAGAGGAGCACGCAGAAUCCCCUCUGAUCUGGAGGGAACAUCUGGCACUGGGUGCAGCUCAACAUGAAGUGGCUUUAAUCCAGAGGAUACGAGCAAAGUGAGAAAGAAGAAAGCAGUGUGCUGUAAACUUGGACUCCAACUCAAACAACAUAUGGAUCUGUGAGAUUUGUAACAAGCUGUGUCACUCUCGAAUUGGGCUUAUCAGCCACAACUGGAAUCAUGGGGCAUCUGAUUCAACCUCUUAUGUGUACACCAUGAUCCAAAGGAUUGACUACUGGAUUAAGUAGCCAGGAUCCAGGCAUCCCUCCUUUAUUGCAGCACAGCUUGCUCUCAGCCAGCCAGGACUCCCUCAUGGGUAGCAUGACUGAGACAGACCACCUCUACUCAACAAAGGUUUUUAUUAGGUUCUUGGCUGUCCCUUGGAUGCCAUAAAAUACUUUACACUGGGAACACCAAGGCCUAGAAUGAAGGAUAAGAGUAUGGCUGAGCAGGAGCCAGUUCCCUGCCCCCUGCCGUAAUGAGCCAGGAAGGUCUUUUAUGAAGACUGGGGAAGCUUGAAUUCAAGAUACAGUGCUUAUUUUCAGUCCUUUUCGUUUCACUCACACUUGUUUUUUUCGAAGGAUGGUGUCUGCGGACAAGGGUCCCGCUAAUUUUGAUAAAUGAAAACAAAAUACAUGGAGCGCUUUAAAGUGUUCAGUCUCAUACAGGAUAAGACCUUCCAUAACUGCACACUGAACUGGCAUGUAUUUGAAUAGCACUGCUGGCUGAGGUUUGGUGUAGUUGUCACCAGUCAGGUCUUCAAGUGAUCAUGAGCCAAACCAGAUAUUGGCAACGGCACUAUUUGAAUCUAAAGCAUCACUUGCCACCACACUUGGCUUGAUUGUGUCCUACUUGCGUGCAAACCCUGGUAUGCAGUUAAGAUAGGAUUUGUUUGAAUGUACUGAUUUCCCAGCUUUACUGGCAAAAGUCCUGCAUGAACCUAUUAAGUUUCUCACGACUGUGGUAUUAGUUUUACUGGUGAAUUGCUAAGUGAAUUCAAUAUCCAUAUUCAAUAGCCAGGACUUCCUGGCUAUCAUUACAGAUCCAUUACUACAGGAAGCAAGCACUUCAGUUCAUGCAGCUAGGCACACUUUUGAUUUAGUGUGUUUGUCUAAGGGAAUCAGUAACUAUUACAUUUACUUCACAAAGUGAUUUUUUGCAAUUUGAGGGUGAGGCCCCUCUCCUCUGUUAAGUCAAAGGACCUGUCUUGAUGGUCCACUUCAGGAGGUUAACAGAGCCAAGAUACUUCCAGGGGAAGAAUGCUGUUCUUUUGACAGACACCUCCAGCAAGAAUUUAAGAGGAUUGUAAAAUGCUCUUUGGUCCACCACUAAUUGAGUAGGCUCAGACAUUCUUUUCCCCAGCUUCAUCCUUACAGGCCACCCACACUUGCUGAUGACCUGCAAUGAGCGAAGAGAUAAGAAGAUGCUCACAGCAUCAGUGUCAGUUUCAUGCCAAAGCUGAUUAGUUGUAGUAUAAUCAUUUUGCAAGCUGUAUGCUAUAGCUGUACAGGAGACAGGGUACAUGCUUUGGUACCUUCAUCAUAUCACCCACAAAACCUCAGACAACAGAUUCGUUUUGGGAUGUUGAUAGACUGGUUAACCCAGGCUGUCUCAGUUUAGUGGCUAGUCUGAAUUCCUCCAGACAAAACAAAACUGAACAGAUUCAGAAUAAAUUAUUUGCGUCCAUGGGGCAAAACAGUAGUUUGGACUGAAUACUAAGUCUUGUCUGCUUGAUUUUCAGUGUAGUUUGCUCUGAGGCCUACCUGCACUUUGUGUCUAGCCAUUUCUGUUGAAGAUCAGUGGGGAAUACUCAAGUAUUCAGGAUUCCUGUGUCCAGGAUUAUUUUCACUAGUAAAAGCCUCUUUCUUUGCUUUGAAAAAAAACAUUAUUUUGGCCUUUGCUCAAGAAACCACUACUUGAUGUUGAUAAACUGGUUACAUACCAUUCAGUUUUCUAGAUUGUUGAGAAGGCUGUGGCAAGAUGACUCUCAGAGCAUUUUGAAGCUUCUGAUCAACUUGACCUUUGUCAGUCAGGGAACAAACUAGAUUUUUGCCCAGCUAAUCUACUGACAACACUGGUGAAUGAUCUCUUGGCACUGGAUGAAGAUCAGGUGUCGUUGCUGAUACUGUUGAUAGGAGCAGGUGUUGAGUAGCUUGUGGAUGCAACAAGGAAUGGAAAGCACUGUCCUUCAGCAGCGCUUUGUGAUCUCAGAAAUCGCACAUCUAACCAUGAACAAGUGCUCCACCUUCCAAAGGGAUGGAAAUACAAAGCACCAUCCCAUUGUCCCUUUUAUUCAGUGCAUAUGUGGAGCUUUUAGACAGACAGACUCAGCCAGAAGCCUUGCCCUCUGCAGCUGGAUCUGCAGAAACCACCACGCAUCUCAGCCACAACAGUCUCAUCUCUGUACCCGCGUAGGACCAGAUCCAAAACUCCAGCUCUAAAGGAAAAAGUCUUUGCCACCAAAAGGAUGCGGGACAAUAAAUGUUUCUUGGUCAAAACUUUUUCAGGACCCAGCCAAUUCUAGCCUCGUGGGUCUUGCUGAACCAAAAGAAAGGGACCAGAAGGCAGCAUGAAACACUGAACAGAGCAUGAAACCAAGACUCAGGAGAGAUGGGCAGUUUCCUGCAAACUUACUAUCUGAGAUUUUGCACAAGUUGCUUAGGGUUAGAUCCAAUAAUGGACUUGGGUGCCUAAAAGUUAGUACUGAAAUGCUUAACCUUUAGUUGCCUGGCCCCCAGAGGAAACCCUGCAAUUCACACCUUGGUAUCCAGUAUCUAGGGAGAACAGCACCUCAGACUGGAAUCCAAAACAGCCAGUACUGCCAGGAGGCUGCCUGAAGUGACCAUGCUGAUCAGAGUGCUGCCUGGAGUUAGCCAAGAGGGGCGUGCUAAGGAUACAGUUAAGUCUAAAAUGCUGUCCUUCAUCCUUAAUUUCUCUGUACUUCAGUCUCCCCAUCUCUAAAAUGGGGAUGUUUCUAUAAAAAAGGUAUUUGAAAUCUAAUGAUGAACAGGGACAAUGGCCAAAUAUUUCUAAAGUGACUGAUAUGAUGUUCCUGAGUUACCUUCAAGGGGCCUGGAUUUAAGAAGAUGGGUAAUUCAGCAUUCCUGAAAAUCAGGUUUUUAGAAUAUCUCCAGUUGGGUACUGAAAAAGUGAGGUAUCUAGAAUCACUAGUCACUUUUGAAAAAUUGAGCCUGAAUGUUUUCAUAAAUUAGUUUUGGAAACAUGGGAUUACAAGACCAGACAGCUUUAGUUCCACCUACUCCUCUUAAUAAAGGAUGACACCAGGUAUAAACAGGCAAACCACACUUUACUGGUCCCUAAUGGGUGAAUAUUUUGCAAGGCUUAUCACCCUCCAGCCCUAUAUGAAUGUUCCCCCUAUGAAGAUGCUAUGCAGCCUGCUCUCUAUGGAGGGUGUUGGAGACCAUCAGUCUCUAUUAGCAAGUACAGCCAGAGGGUCUGGGGCCCACUUUCCUCAUAUGAACAAACAGAACCUCAAACUUCUGUCAAGAAAUCUCAAGUUUGGACUGCAGCAUCCCCUGAAACUCCUGUCCUGGGCCUCUCUUGUGAAGACACCACAUCCUGCACUACAUUAUAGACUUACAUGUAUGAAAUUGAAAUAAAUGUGUCCUACAGCUA
Alligator sinensis (Chinese alligator) is the source of this 4886-nucleotide long non-coding RNA. RefSeq lists it as uncharacterized. The record is from RefSeq and is a predicted model, not a curated record. The transcript is spliced from 2 exons. NCBI's taxonomy places the organism in Eukaryota, Metazoa, Chordata, Crocodylia, Alligatoridae.